RNAcentral lists this ribosomal RNA (1062 nucleotides) under Bacillus spizizenii. Its description in RNAcentral is "bacterial SSU rRNA". It matches the Rfam family "Bacterial small subunit ribosomal RNA", at positions 36 to 1069 of the family's 1533-position model. The record is from RNAcentral. Lineage: Bacteria; Bacillati; Bacillota; Bacilli; Caryophanales; Bacillaceae.
CCGGGGGGGGGGUCUAUACUGCAAGUCGAGCGGACAGAUGGGAGCUUGCUCCCUGAUGUUAGCGGCGGACGGGUGAGUAACACGUGGGUAACCUGCCUGUAAGACUGGGAUAACUCCGGGAAACCGGGGCUAAUACCGGAUGCUUGUUUGAACCGCAUGGUUCAAACAUAAAAGGUGGCUUCGGCUACCACUUACAGAUGGACCCGCGGCGCAUUAGCUAGUUGGUGAGGUAAUGGCUCACCAAGGCAACGAUGCGUAGCCGACCUGAGAGGGUGAUCGGCCACACUGGGACUGAGACACGGCCCAGACUCCUACGGGAGGCAGCAGUAGGGAAUCUUCCGCAAUGGACGAAAGUCUGACGGAGCAACGCCGCGUGAGUGAUGAAGGUUUUCGGAUCGUAAAGCUCUGUUGUUAGGGAAGAACAAGUACCGUUCGAAUAGGGCGGUACCUUGACGGUACCUAACCAGAAAGCCACGGCUAACUACGUGCCAGCAGCCGCGGUAAUACGUAGGUGGCAAGCGUUGUCCGGAAUUAUUGGGCGUAAAGGGCUCGCAGGCGGUUUCUUAAGUCUGAUGUGAAAGCCCCCGGCUCAACCGGGGAGGGUCAUUGGAAACUGGGGAACUUGAGUGCAGAAGAGGAGAGUGGAAUUCCACGUGUAGCGGUGAAAUGCGUAGAGAUGUGGAGGAACACCAGUGGCGAAGGCGACUCUCUGGUCUGUAACUGACGCUGAGGAGCGAAAGCGUGGGGAGCGAACAGGAUUAGAUACCCUGGUAGUCCACGCCGUAAACGAUGAGUGCUAAGUGUUAGGGGGUUUCCGCCCCUUAGUGCUGCAGCUAACGCAUUAAGCACUCCGCCUGGGGAGUACGGUCGCAAGACUGAAACUCAAAGGAAUUGACGGGGGCCCGCACAAGCGGUGGAGCAUGUGGGUUUAAUUUCGAAGCAACGCGAAGAACCCUUACCAGGUCUUGACAUCCUCUGACAAUCCUAGAGAUAGGACGUCCUCCUUUCUGGGGGCAGAGUGACACGUGGGUGGCCAUGGGUUGUCGUUCAGCCUCCGUCGUC